This 784-nucleotide long non-coding RNA is filed under the name Struthio camelus australis. RNAcentral's name for it is "lncRNA (ENSSCUG00000006553.1)". Lineage: Eukaryota; Metazoa; Chordata; Aves; Struthioniformes; Struthionidae. The record is from RNAcentral.
CAUAGACUUAAUGCAACAGCAAAAUGCCUUGUUCCCUGCCUUUGCUGCAACCCAUUUGGCCUCAAGAAGCAAGGGACCUGGAAACAUAACUUUGAUGUCUAAUUGCAAUGGAACAGCACCUCAAAAAAUUGGAUAACCUAUCUGAGCAUCCUGUCCAAACCUUCAUCUUUUUGGCCUAUACUUCUGCCACAAGAUUUCUCAGAGAAAUAUCUAUAUUUAUACAUUAUCUUCUUCUGCCAAUUUAAAAUUCACUUUAAAUAAUAGUAGAAUUACAGAAGCAUUGACUAAGCCCCAUACUGUUGUACUGAAGAAUGUAACUUGUUUCAAAGAACCAAGAUGCCCUGGGAAAGUGAAGUCACCACACUUUUCCAGUUAAUGUAUUUCUGACAUGCCUCUUCUGAUUUACCCUCACACUACUAAUGCCAAUUCACUACGUUGGAGCUUGCAUGACAACCAACUUCUUCACCAUCACGUCAGGAAUUGAAAAAUCAUCAAAUGACCUCAAUAUGUUUAACAACAAGUUUUAGCAAUCUAGAAAAGCAAAUAAUGGAUCUCAGUCUCACAGUCUACAACAGUCUGGGAAAGCAUUCUACACAGGUUUUAUGCCCCAUUGAAUUAUUCUUGAAUUCUGAGUACCAUCAAAUGUGUUGUCUAGAAUCUUGUUGCAUGAUUGGAGUGGCUUGUAUCAUUAUUUUGCAUAGGUUUGUAUUUUUUGCUCAUUUCCAAAGAAAAUUAACAGCAAUAUCACCUAUAGUGCUGUAGUUCUCUUCUUCUUGGGAUCUUU